GCGUUAUGAAUGCAGUGAAAUCAUCUGGUGGUUUGAGGGAAGAGUUGUUUAAUGCUGCAUAUAAUGCAAAGAGGCAAGCAUUACUUAAAGGCAAGAACGCAUCUCCAAUGUGGGACCGAUUAGUAUUUGACAAAAUAAAAGCCAAACGUGGCGGCGGGUUCGUUUUAUGGUUUCAGGGGCGUCUCCAUUGUCUGCUAAUGUCAUUGAUUUUCUUAAAGUGUGCUUUGGUUGACCU
Helianthus annuus (common sunflower) is the source of this 235-nucleotide long non-coding RNA. RefSeq lists it as uncharacterized. The transcript has 3 exons. The record is from RefSeq and is a predicted model, not a curated record. NCBI's taxonomy places the organism in Eukaryota, Viridiplantae, Streptophyta, Magnoliopsida, Asterales, Asteraceae.